UUUAUGCUAUGCAAAAGCAAUUCUCACGGUUAACUCAGCUAAGAAGUGUUAGAACUUUUUCUUGCGGACACCAGGCAAGUUUACCUUUAGUUAAUAAAUGGACUCCCAGACGCGAUUCUCGAGCUUGUCUUGGCCGCUUUCCUCUUUUGUUUCCUCUUCCUCCCCUCUUACGUUUAAACGCACAACAGAUCUUUGAAGGAAUCAAUGACAAGGGUCUUCUAAAAGAGGACAUUUAUAAAUUAGUAAAGUUUUUAACUAAGGACAAAA
This is a long non-coding RNA of Zophobas morio, 267 nucleotides long. RefSeq lists it as uncharacterized. NCBI's taxonomy places the organism in Eukaryota, Metazoa, Arthropoda, Insecta, Coleoptera, Tenebrionidae. The transcript has 3 exons. The record is from RefSeq and is a predicted model, not a curated record.